UCGCAGAUCAGAAUGCUGCGGUGAAUGCGUUCCCGGGUCUUGUACACACCGCCCGUCACACCACGGGAGUUGGAGACGCCCGAAGCCGAUUAUCUAACCUUUUGGAAGAAGUCGUCGAAGGUGGAAUCAAUAACUGGGGUGAAGUCGUAACAAGGUAGCCGUAUCGGAAGGUGCGGCUGGAUCACCUCCUUUCUAAGGAGA
This 201-nucleotide ribosomal RNA is filed under the name Clostridioides difficile. Its description in RNAcentral is "partial 16S ribosomal RNA". It matches the Rfam family "Bacterial small subunit ribosomal RNA", at positions 1342 to 1533 of the family's 1533-position model. The record is from RNAcentral. Lineage: Bacteria; Bacillati; Bacillota; Clostridia; Peptostreptococcales; Peptostreptococcaceae.